RNAcentral lists this long non-coding RNA (519 nucleotides) under Homo sapiens (human). Its description in RNAcentral is "HSALNT0347286". The record is from RNAcentral. Lineage: Eukaryota; Metazoa; Chordata; Mammalia; Primates; Hominidae.
AAGCAUGUGGCAGCACAGAGUCUCUCUGAACCUAUUCUGAUUCUGGUGGCUGCUCAAUUUGCAAAUCAUUCCCCAACAGAUGGUAUCAGAAGUGGGACCUGCAGUGGGGCAUCUAGCAACCCCCAGGAGCAUUGAGUGACCAGGCUUGGGACCCACCGGGCGCAGGGUGUCCAUUGUUCUCUCGAAGCAACUGAGAAUUGUGGAUAUUCUUCAUUAUUCCAUCAUCAUCUCAAACCUCUUGGGUAUAGUGUUUGACUACUACUGUGACCAUAAAUUCCAAUAAAACCUAGGAAAAAUGAAACCACUACAUUAACUGAAAGGAAGGAAGAUGAUUCCAAGUCAUGUUAUUUCCAAGGAAGCAACAAUAACUUCACUGGACCCCUGCUGAUCUUAAAGUGCAGCAUGAAAAACAGUCUUGGAGACUUCUAGAGAUGUCCAAAGUAUGCCUACGGGGAGCAAUAGGGAUACCAGGAGAAUCUGAUGGUAGACGUAUAUUAAAAAAGCUAUUUACAUGUUAAA